UAGGGAAUCUUCCGCAAUGGGCGAAAGCCUGACGGAGCAACGCCGCGUGAGUGAUGAAGGUUUUCGGUUCGUAAAACUCUGUUAUUAGGGAAGAACAAAUGUGUAAGUAACUAUGCACGUCUUGACGGUACCUAAUCAGAAAGCCACGGCUAACUACGUGCCAGCAGCUGCGGUAAUACGUAGGUGGCAAGCGUUAUCCGGAAUUAUUGGGCGUAAAGCGCGCGUAGGCGGUUUUUUAAGACUGAUGUGAAAGCGCACGGCUCAACCGUGGAGGAUCAUUGGAAACUGGAGAACUUGAGUACAGAAGGGGAAAGUGGAAUUCCAUGUGGAGCGGUGAAAUGCGCAGAGGUAUGGGGAGACAACAGUGGCGAAGACGACUUUCUAGUCUGGAACUGGCGAUGAUGUGCGAAAGCGUAGGGAUCAAACAGG
This 429-nucleotide ribosomal RNA is filed under the name Actinomycetes bacterium. Its description in RNAcentral is "Actinobacteria bacterium partial 16S ribosomal RNA". It matches the Rfam family "Bacterial small subunit ribosomal RNA", at positions 355 to 776 of the family's 1533-position model. The record is from RNAcentral. Lineage: Bacteria; Bacillati; Actinomycetota; Actinomycetes.